GGUGGUGCGGCACCGGAACCAAGCAGAGGUGCGGGGGUUAUAAAGGGUAAGGAAAGGGACGGGACGAGGGUGGGUGUAGAGGUGGAGGUGGGAGGAGGAGGAGGGAGAGGUAGGUAGGUGAGGUGGCCGCGUAGCCCCACAGAGGCAGAGGCAGGCCGGCCGCACUAAAAGAAACAGGGGCCCGGCGCUGCGUGCGCGCUGUACCGGCGGCGUCGACGACGGCUGCUGCGCCAGCGGCGGCUGUAGUAGACGAGCGACGCGCCCCGGCUGGACCGGCCCACCUGCGGCGGCACCUCGUUCGCGCCCUCCGGCUACCUCCUCCGCUCCCUCGACAGGACCGGCCGGUACCGCGCCCCCUUCGCGAGCGCCGCGGCGAGAGGCCGCAGCAGCAGCCGCUGCCGCCGCCCCCCAUUCCGCCGCUCCACACGGGCCAGGUCGGGCCGGAGCGGCGACCUGAUGUCGCGGCCGAGGCGGAGGGAGGCGAGGCCGCGGAGGUGGUCGCCGCCGCUCCUGCCGCGGAAGACGAGCGGCACCGUGGCGGCGCGCCGGUGGCGCGGACGCUGAUGUUGCUUCUGCUGCUGCUUCCACCCAAGGUAGUCUGCCGGCGUCAACUGGAAGGUCCGGGGCGGAGGCGCCGGGCGGCCAGUCUCCGUUGCCUUCUUUUACUCCGACGGCCUCCAGGUCGUCGACCACGCCAGCGAGCGGCACCUCUUGCUCUCGGAUGUGCUCCUCUACGCCCUUGACGUCUCCCGAACGAGGCGCGACAGCUUUCUUUUACUGUUCGAACUCUGUUCUUAUCAUCUCGUUAGGUUGAGUGCCUUACUUCGGUGUAACUUCCUCGUCUUCCCUUUCGUCGUCGUCGAACUAGUCGUCGUCGUCGUCGUCGUCGUCAGGGGUGUACUGUCGAAGCGCGAUGGUCUAGAGUUGGAAGGACGCGUCCUGCCACGACUACCCAGUCAGGGAACAACUCGCGAGGUCUAGCGGUGGCGCCGAAGCGAUUGGCUUAUUGUUUCACAUGUAUCUCCAUCGUCCGAAUCGAUCUGCUCCUCCCCGUGCCCUGCCCUCACGGUAGGUUUCUUUUUCUUACCGCGCCUAAAGUAUUCAAAAAUCUUAAAAAAUGUCCCAGUCCACAGUGAUAGGACUCACUGUUCCAGUCCAACAUCGAUUUGCCUUACUGAUUAAAUCGAGUAGACGAUUAACAAAGAAUGGAUGGAUGAUCACGAAGAUAUAAAGUAUCUCGACUCUCCACCGUGUCGAGUUUGGCUGAGUGUGACACAUCGGCUAAAUCUACGCAAAUAAGUACAACGAAACAAUAUUCACUACUACUCUUACAACGGACACGUCUAAACCGAUGACAUACUUCAUUAACCAUUGAACAAGGUAGAAAGAAAAAGA
RNAcentral lists this ribosomal RNA (1395 nucleotides) under Triticum aestivum (bread wheat). RNAcentral's name for it is "partial small subunit ribosomal RNA". The record is from RNAcentral. Lineage: Eukaryota; Viridiplantae; Streptophyta; Magnoliopsida; Poales; Poaceae.